RNAcentral lists this ribosomal RNA (485 nucleotides) under uncultured bacterium. RNAcentral describes it as "partial 16S ribosomal RNA". It matches the Rfam family "Bacterial small subunit ribosomal RNA", at positions 29 to 523 of the family's 1533-position model. The record is from RNAcentral.
AGUGAACGCUGGCGGCGUGCUUAACACAUGCAAGUCGAACGAGAACGGAAUAUAGCUUGCUAUAUUUGUCAGCUAAGUGGCGCACGGGUGAGUAAUGUAUAGAUAACCUGCCCUUAAGAAAGGAAUAACAGUUGGAAACGACUGCUAAUGCCCUAUAUGCCUUUAAUACAUAAGUAUGCAAGGGAAACGCUUUAGUGCUUAAGGAUGGGUCUGUAUGAUAUCAGCUUGUUGGUGAGGUAAUGGCUCACCAAGGCUAUGACGCCUAACUGGUUUGAGAGGAUGGUCAGUCACACUGGAACUGAGACACGGUCCAGACUCCUACGGGAUGCAGCAGUGGGGAAUAUUGCACAAUGGACGAAAGUCUGAUGCAGCAACGCCGCGUGGAGGAUGACACAUUUCGGUGCGUAAACUCCUUUUAUAUAGGAAGAUAAUGACGGUACUAUAUGAAUAAGCACCGGCUAACUCCGUGCCAGCAGCCGCCGUAA